This 73-nucleotide transfer RNA is filed under the name Lachnospiraceae bacterium. RNAcentral's name for it is "tRNA-Ala". It matches the Rfam family "tRNA". From Rfam's summary of the family: Transfer RNA (tRNA) molecules are approximately 80 nucleotides in length. Their secondary structure includes four short double-helical elements and three loops (D, anti-codon, and T loops). Lineage: Bacteria; Bacillati; Bacillota; Clostridia; Lachnospirales; Lachnospiraceae. The record is from RNAcentral.
GGGGUUAUAGUUCAGUUGGGAGAACGCUUGCAUGGCAUGCAAGAGGUCGUCGGUUCGAGUCCGAUUAACUCCA